Molecule: ribosomal RNA, 219 nt
Filed under: uncultured bacterium
Lineage: Bacteria
Description: partial 16S ribosomal RNA
Rfam family: Bacterial small subunit ribosomal RNA
Source: RNAcentral
UAAUGUAUGGGGAUCUGCCCGAUAGAGGGGGAUAACUACUGGAAACGGUGGCUAAUACCGCAUAAUGUCUACGGACCAAAGCAGGGGCUCUUCGGACCUUGCACUAUCGGAUGAACCCAUAUGGGAUUAGCUAGUAGGUGGGGUAAGGCUCACCUAGGCGACGAUCUCUAGCUGGUCUGAGAGGAUGAUCAGCCACACUGGGACUGAGACACGGCCCAG